Molecule: ribosomal RNA, 517 nt
Filed under: uncultured Comamonadaceae bacterium
Lineage: Bacteria; Pseudomonadati; Pseudomonadota; Betaproteobacteria; Burkholderiales; Comamonadaceae
Description: bacterial SSU rRNA
Rfam family: Bacterial small subunit ribosomal RNA
Source: RNAcentral
AGAGUUUGAUCCUGGCUCAGAUUGAACGCUGGCGGCAUGCCUUACACAUGCAAGUCGAACGGUAGAGGGGCAACCCUUGAGAGUGGCGAACGGGUGAGUAAUGCAUCGGAACGUGCCCAGUCGUGGGGGAUAACGCAGCGAAAGCUGUGCUAAUACCGCAUGUGAUCUGUGGAUGAAAGCAGGGGACCGCAAGGCCUUGUGCGAUUGGAGCGGCCGAUGUCAGAUUAGCUAGUUGGUAGGGUAAAAGCCUACCAAGGCGACGAUCUGUAGCUGGUCUGAGAGGACGACCAGCCACACUGGGACUGAGACACGGCCCAGACCCCUACGGGAGGCAGCAGUGGGGAAUUUUGGACAAUGGGCGCAAGCCUGAUCCAGCAAUGCCGCGUGCAGGACGAAGGCCUUCGGGUUGUAAACUGCUUUUGUACGGAGCGAAACGGUCUGGGUUAAUACCUUGGGCUAAUGACGGUACCGUAAGAAUAAGCACCGGCUAACUACGUGCCAGCAGCCGCGGUAAUAC